Molecule: ribosomal RNA, 615 nt
Filed under: Clostridium perfringens
Lineage: Bacteria; Bacillati; Bacillota; Clostridia; Eubacteriales; Clostridiaceae
Description: bacterial SSU rRNA
Rfam family: Bacterial small subunit ribosomal RNA
Source: RNAcentral
GGGUUUCAACACCUCCGUGCCGCCGCUAACGCAUUAAGUAUUCCGCCUGGGGAGUACGGUCGCAAGAUUAAAACUCAAAGGAAUUGACGGGGACCCGCACAAGUAGCGGAGCAUGUGGUUUAAUUCGAAGCAACGCGAAGAACCUUACCUACACUUGACAUCCCUUGCAUUACUCUUAAUCGAGGAAAUCCCUUCGGGGACAAGGUGACAGGUGGUGCAUGGUUGUCGUCAGCUCGUGUCGUGAGAUGUUGGGUUAAGUCCCGCAACGAGCGCAACCCUUGUCGUUAGUUACUACCAUUAAGUUGAGGACUCUAGCGAGACUGCCUGGGUUAACCAGGAGGAAGGUGGGGAUGACGUCAAAUCAUCAUGCCCCUUAUGUGUAGGGCUACACACGUGCUACAAUGGCUGGUACAGAGAGAUGCAAUACCGCGAGGUGGAGCCAAACUUUAAAACCAGUCUCAGUUCGGAUUGUAGGCUGAAACUCGCCUACAUGAAGCUGGAGUUACUAGUAAUCGCGAAUCAGAAUGUCGCGGUGAAUACGUUCCCGGGUCUUGUACACACCGCCCGUCACACCAUGAGAGUUGGCAAUACCCGAAGUCCGUGAGCUAACCGCAA